GGGCCUAUAGCUCAGUUGGUCAGAGCAGAGGACUCAUAAUCCUUUGGUCCACGGUUCGAGUCCGUGUGGGCCCACCA
RNAcentral lists this transfer RNA (77 nucleotides) under Pseudomonas palleroniana. RNAcentral describes it as "tRNA_Met_CAT". It matches the Rfam family "tRNA". Rfam says of the family: Transfer RNA (tRNA) molecules are approximately 80 nucleotides in length. Their secondary structure includes four short double-helical elements and three loops (D, anti-codon, and T loops). Lineage: Bacteria; Pseudomonadati; Pseudomonadota; Gammaproteobacteria; Pseudomonadales; Pseudomonadaceae. The record is from RNAcentral. RNAcentral also lists the same sequence under 1 other name.